This 72-nucleotide transfer RNA is filed under the name Bos taurus (domestic cattle). It matches the Rfam family "tRNA". Rfam says of the family: Transfer RNA (tRNA) molecules are approximately 80 nucleotides in length. Their secondary structure includes four short double-helical elements and three loops (D, anti-codon, and T loops). The record is from Rfam by way of RNAcentral. RNAcentral also lists the same sequence under 2 other names. Lineage: Eukaryota; Metazoa; Chordata; Mammalia; Artiodactyla; Bovidae.
UCCCUGGUGGCUCAGAUGGUAAAGCGUCUGCCUACAAUGCAGGAGACCCGGGUUGAAUCCCUGGGUCGGGAA